RNAcentral lists this transfer RNA (75 nucleotides) under Schistosoma mansoni. The record is from RNAcentral. Lineage: Eukaryota; Metazoa; Platyhelminthes; Trematoda; Strigeidida; Schistosomatidae.
ACUGCACUGGCCAACUGGAUAACUCAAUAGCGUUUGAAGCGAAAGGUACUGAGUUCGAAUCCCGGACUGAACUCA